GGGAGGCAGCAGUGAGGAAUCUUGCACAAUGGGGGAAACCCUGAUGCAGCGACGCCGCGUGAGCGAUGAAGCCCUUCGGGGUGUAAAGCUCUUUCGGCGGGAACGAUUAUGACGGUACCCGCAGAAGAAGCUGCGGCUAACUACGUGCCAGCAGCCACGGUAAUACGAAGGCAGCAAGCGUUGUUCGGAGUUACUGGGCGUAAAGAGUAUGUAGGCGGCCUCGCAAGUUCGGUGUGAAAUCUCCCGGCUUAACUGGGAGGGUGCGCCGAAAACUGCUGGGCUCGAGUGCGGGAGAGGAGAGCGGAAUUCUUGGUGUAGCGGUGAAAUGCGUAGAUAUCAGGAGGAACACCGGCGGUGUAGACGGCUCUCUGGACCGCGACUGACGCUGAGAUACGAAAGCGUGGGGAGCAAACAGGAUUAGAUACCCGGGUAGUCCU
RNAcentral lists this ribosomal RNA (437 nucleotides) under uncultured bacterium. Its description in RNAcentral is "bacterial SSU rRNA". It matches the Rfam family "Bacterial small subunit ribosomal RNA", at positions 343 to 797 of the family's 1533-position model. The record is from RNAcentral.